RNAcentral lists this ribosomal RNA (505 nucleotides) under uncultured bacterium. RNAcentral describes it as "partial 16S ribosomal RNA". It matches the Rfam family "Bacterial small subunit ribosomal RNA", at positions 28 to 507 of the family's 1533-position model. The record is from RNAcentral.
GACGAACGCUGGCGGCGUGCCUAAUACAUGCAAGUAGAACGCACAGUUUAUACCGUAGCUUGCUACACCAUAGACUGUGAGUUGCGAACGGGUGAGUAACGCGUAGCUAACCUGCCUGGUAGCGGGGGAUAACUAUUGGAAACGAUAGCUAUUACCGCAUAAUAUUGAUUAUUGCAUGAUAAUUAAUUGAAUGGUGCAAUUGCACCACUACCAGAUGGACCUGCGUUGUAUUAGCUAGUAGGUGAGGUAACGGCUCACCUAUGCGACGAUACAUAGCCGACCUGAGAGGGUGAUCGGCCACACUGGGACUGAGACACGGCCCAGACUCCUACGGGAGGCAGCAGUAGGGAAUCGUCGGCAAUGGACGAAAGUCUGACCGAGCAACGCCGCGUGAGUGAAGAAGGUUUUCGGAUCGUAAAGCUCUGUUGUAAGAGAAGAACGGGUGUGAGAGUGGAAAGUUCACACUGUGACGGUAUCUUACCAGAAAGGGACGGCUAACUACGUG